Molecule: signal recognition particle RNA, 263 nt
Filed under: Ipomoea nil (Japanese morning glory)
Lineage: Eukaryota; Viridiplantae; Streptophyta; Magnoliopsida; Solanales; Convolvulaceae
Description: Plant signal recognition particle RNA
Rfam family: Plant signal recognition particle RNA
Source: Rfam by way of RNAcentral
GCUGGGCUUGGUAGUGCGAGCCUGUGACCCAAGUGGGAGCAUAAAGAUGGUGGAAUAAUUGGGCUUGCCUUGAAGGUGGUGAGUUGUAUGGUGGAGUCUCUGUGAAGGCGGAGGCUUCACUGUCCUUAGAUUGGAGGGCACCGCGUGAGGCUGGCUUCACAGAGCAGCGAUAACCUCCUCCUCUCUGCGGUGGAAGGAUAACUGGCCGGUGCAACCCCGUCCACUAGCAGCCUGAUUGGCUGCCCAGGUAAACCACCGUCUUU